CAAUAGCGUAUAUUAAAGUUGUUGCAGUUAAAAAGCUCGUAGUUGGAUUUCUGGUUGAAGCGACCGGUCGGGCGUUGAUUCGUCUGCACUGGAGUCGGUUUUGGCCAUCCUCUAGGAAAGUGCGUCUGGUAUUAAGUUAUCGGGCGUAUGAUCCUGGUCUUUUACUGUGAAAAAAUUAGAGUGUUUAAAGCAGGCCUUCGCCUUGAAUACAUUAGCAUGGAAUAAUAAGAUAGGACUUUGGUCUAUUUUGUUGGUUUGCAGACCGAAGUAAUGAUUAAUAGGGAUAGUUGGGGUUAUUUAUAUUCCGAUGUCAGAGGUGAAAUUCUUAGAUUUUCGGAAGAUAAACUUAUGCGAAAGCAUUUACCAAGGAUGUUUUCAUUAA
Molecule: ribosomal RNA, 382 nt
Filed under: uncultured eukaryote
Lineage: Eukaryota
Description: partial 18S ribosomal RNA
Rfam family: Eukaryotic small subunit ribosomal RNA
Source: RNAcentral